CCCACUUAGUAGCUCUCAGCUACUGCUCCGGGGAUAUGCCUGUCUGCCUGCUGACAUGCUCUCUGCCAAUGGGUCAUGGACGCCCCUUGUGAAGGCUGUACCCACCGGGAGUUGCUGUUGAUGACUUCUCCUCUUGAAUCCGAGUGGACCUGAGACUCACUUGUAACCAGCACAAUGCUCUGUGGAACUAUUGCUGCAUAACCUUGAGGAAGUCAGAGAAAAGAAACUCAGGUUUGGGAUAGCCUUGAUCUACCAUGUGAUGAAUUUGAUUCCCCUGGUAUGGCCAUGUUAUCCUGAGGAUGCCCCAGCCACACACAGAAGCUACUGUGGACGCUUGGUUCAGCCAUCUUAGCUGCUAGUCGGCAUCAACAAUGGAUGGAAGAAUUCAAAUGACAUGAUGGCCAUUCCCAGCUGCCGAGCCACCCAGUCCAUAGGUCUUCUUUGCACAUGGAGUGAAUUCACAGAGCAGAGAGAAGGCAGUGUCCACAGAGCCCAUUAGCAUGGCCCGAAUGCUUUCUACUGCUGAGACCCUGAGUAACCAGGACAGCAAGCAAUUAUUUGAAGCAGCUGGAUUCAAGAAGGCUGGAUCACGUGUUAUCACACACGGAGGACUCACAGGUUAUGGGGAGCUGAACAAUGUAAUUACGUUCAUGGAGUGCCACCACUUCCUAAUUUUGAAGGUUAAAAAAUAAUCACUUUCUGGGCUUGGGCCUAGGUCAUGACGGCAUGGCUAAAGA
Molecule: long non-coding RNA, 737 nt
Filed under: Rattus norvegicus (Norway rat)
Lineage: Eukaryota; Metazoa; Chordata; Mammalia; Rodentia; Muridae
Description: partial HAfT20 cufflinks 00027672
Source: RNAcentral